Molecule: ribosomal RNA, 497 nt
Filed under: uncultured bacterium
Lineage: Bacteria
Description: partial 16S ribosomal RNA
Rfam family: Bacterial small subunit ribosomal RNA
Source: RNAcentral
GAUGAACGCUGGCGGCGUGCCUAAUACAUGCAAGUCGAGCGAACGGACGAGAAGCUUGCUUCUCUGUUGUUAGCGGCGGACGGGCGAGUAACACGUGGAUAACCUACCUAUAAGACUGGGAUAACUUCGGGAAACCGGAGCUAAUACCGGAUAAUAUUUUGAACCGCAUGGUUCAAAAGUGAUAGACGGUCUUGCUGUCACUUAUAGAUGGAUCCGCGCUGCAUUAGCUAGUUGGUAAGGUAACGGCUUACCAAGGCAACGAUGCCUAGCCGACCUGAGAGGGUGAUCGGCCACACUGGAACUGAGACACGGUCCAGACUCCUACGGGAGGCAGCAGUAGGGAAUCUUCCGCAAUGGGCGAAAGCCUGACGGAGCCACGCCGCGUGAGUGAUGAAGGUCUUCGGAUCGUAAAACUCUGUUAUUAGGGAAGAACAUAUGUGUAAGUAAAUGUGCCCAUCUUGACGGUACCUAAUCAAAAAGCCACGGCUAACUUCGUG